Molecule: ribosomal RNA, 253 nt
Filed under: uncultured bacterium
Lineage: Bacteria
Description: partial 16S ribosomal RNA
Rfam family: Bacterial small subunit ribosomal RNA
Source: RNAcentral
UACGUAGGGAGCAAGCGUUGUCCGGAAUCAUUGGGCGUAAAGCGCGCGUAGGCGGCCUCAUAAGUCCGUUGUGAAAGUCAAAGGCUCAACCUUUGAAAGCCGAUGGAUACUGUGAGGCUGGAGUCCGGAAGAGGCGAGUGGAAUUCCCGGUGUAGCGGUGAAAUGCGCAGAUAUCGGGAAGAACACCCGUGGCGAAGGCGGUUCUCUGGGACGGUACUGACGCUGAGGUGCGAAAGCGUGGGGAGCAAACAGG